Molecule: ribosomal RNA, 408 nt
Filed under: uncultured bacterium
Lineage: Bacteria
Description: partial 16S ribosomal RNA
Rfam family: Bacterial small subunit ribosomal RNA
Source: RNAcentral
GACGAACGCUGGCGGCGUGCUUAACACAUGCAAGUCGAACGAAGUGGCGAACGGGUGAGUAACGCGUAAUCAACCUGCCCUUCAAAGGGGGACAACAGUUGGAAACGACUGCUCAUACCGCAUAUGGAAGGAGGGGAUGGCGUGUGAUUGGCUAGUUGGAGGGGUAACGGCCCACCAAGGCGAUGAUCAGUAGCCGGUCGUAGAGGAUGAACGGCCAAAUUGGGAACGAGACACGGACCAGACUCCUACGGGAGGCAGCAGUGGGGAAUCUUGCGAAAUGGACGAAAGUCUGACGGAGCAACGGCGCGUGAGGGAUGACGGGCUUCGGGUUGUAAAGCUAUGUUAAUCGGGACGCGGUACCGGAAUAGAAAGCCACGGCUAACUACGUGCCAGCAGCCGCGGUAAUAC